This 69-nucleotide transfer RNA is filed under the name Marmota monax (woodchuck). RNAcentral describes it as "tRNA.Ala". It matches the Rfam family "tRNA". Rfam says of the family: Transfer RNA (tRNA) molecules are approximately 80 nucleotides in length. Their secondary structure includes four short double-helical elements and three loops (D, anti-codon, and T loops). The record is from RNAcentral. Lineage: Eukaryota; Metazoa; Chordata; Mammalia; Rodentia; Sciuridae.
GGUUGUGGCUUAGUGGUAGAGCGUUCACCUAGCAUGUGAAAGGCCCCAGGUUCGAUCCUCAGCAGCACA